CAGUUGCACCGGCACGACCGGAUUCACCUUCGCCGGAUCGCCGCCGCGUUCGGCGAUCGCGUCGCGCAGGCCCGCGAGAUCGACGAGCGCGGUCUGGCCGAGGAUGUCGUGGCAGACGACGCGCGCCGGGAACCACGGGAAAUCGCGCUCGCGCUUGCGCUCGACGAGCUGCGUCAGCGAAUCGGCGAGGAUCGCCGGAUCGCAGCGGCGCACGAGGUUCUCGGCGAGCACGCGCGACGUGUACGGCAACGCGUCGUACGCGCCCGGGCGGAUCGCGUCGACGGCGGCGCGCGCGUCGAAGUAGUCGAGCGACGUGCCGGGCAGGGGUUUGCGGUUGGCAGUGUUCAUUGCGUGGGGACAGACUGGGUAACGAUCGUCGCGAAACGGCCGGGCGCGACGCCCGGCCGCCGGGUGCCGCCGAUCAGCGCUUCUCGAUCGGCACGAACUUCAGGUCUUCCGGCCCGGUGUAGUUCGCGCUCGGGCGGAUGAUCUUGUUGUCGACCCGCUGCUCGAUGAUGUGCGCGCUCCAGCCGGCGGUGCGCGCGAUCACGAACAGCGGCGUGAACAUCGCGGUCGGCACGCCCAUCAUGUGAUACGACACCGCGCUGAACCAGUCGAGGUUCGGGAACAUCUUCUUGAUCUCCCACAUCACCGAUUCGAGCCGCUCGGCGAUGUUGAAGAGCUUCAGGUCGCCCGCUUCCUUCGACAGCUUGCGCGCGACUUCCUUGAUCACCUUGUUGCGCGGAUCGGAGAUCGUGUACACCGGGUGGCCGAAGCCGAUCACGACUUCCUUGUUCUCGACGCGGCGGCGGAUGUCGGCCUGCGCUUCGUCGGGCGUGCGGUAGCGGUUCUGGAUCUCGUAGGCGACCUCGUUCGCGCCGCCGUGCUUCGGCCCGCGCAGCGCGCCGAUCGCGCCCGUGAUCGACGAAUACAUGUCCGAGCCCGUGCCGGCGAUCACGCGCGCGGUGAACGUCGAGGCAUUGAACUCGUGCUCCGCGUACAGGAUCAGCGACGUGUGCAUCGCGUCGAUCCACGAUUUCGACGGCGUCUUGCCGUGCAGCAGGUGCAGGAAAUGCCCGCCGAUCGAAUCGUCGUCGGUUUCGGUUUCGAUGCGCCGGCCGUUGUGCGAAUAGUGAUACCAGUACAGCAGCAUCGAGCCGAGCGAGGCCAUCAGCCGGUCCGCGAUGUCGCGCGCGCCCGGCAGGUUGUGGUCGUCCUUCUCGGGCAGCACGGUGCCGAGCACCGAUACGCCGGUGCGCAUCACGUCCAUCGGGUGCGCGGACGCCGGAAUCCAUUCGAGCGCCGCCUUCACGUUCGCGGGCAGCCCGCGCAUCGCGCGCAGCUUCGCCUUGUACGCGGCCAGCUCGGUCACGUUCGGCAGCGUCUCGUGCACGAGCAGGUGCGCGAUUUCCUCGAAUUCGCUCGAGCCGGCGAUAUCGA
Molecule: ribosomal RNA, 1440 nt
Filed under: Burkholderia mallei FMH
Lineage: Bacteria; Pseudomonadati; Pseudomonadota; Betaproteobacteria; Burkholderiales; Burkholderiaceae
Also listed under: 1 other name
Description: 16S ribosomal RNA
Source: RNAcentral